AGAGGGGUGCCUGAGUGGUUGAAAGGGCCCGCCUGGAAAGCUGGUAUAGGUGCAAGCCUAUCGAGGGUUCGAAUCCCUUCCCCUCUGCAA
This 90-nucleotide transfer RNA is filed under the name Bacteroidota bacterium. RNAcentral describes it as "Bacteroidetes bacterium tRNA-Ser". It matches the Rfam family "tRNA". From Rfam's summary of the family: Transfer RNA (tRNA) molecules are approximately 80 nucleotides in length. Lineage: Bacteria; Pseudomonadati; Bacteroidota. RNAcentral also lists the same sequence under 1 other name. The record is from RNAcentral.